GGUGAAGCUGGUGAGCGCCAUUUUGAAGUUGGGCAGAAAGUGACUCCAGUGGUGGAACCCGGAGCCAACCAUUUUUUAGUUACACACCCCUGUCCUGGCAAGAGCUAGAAGGUGAGCGUGCCAGCUUCUGUGCACACAAGCGCUCAGCAUCCUGGGGCAGCACAGACCACCGAAAAGAGAUUUCCAAGUUGAAGCAACAACUGCAGAGGACGAAGCUGAGCCGCAGUGGGAAAGAGAAGGAGCGAGGUUCCCCACUCCCAGGGGACCAUGCAGUGCGGGGAGCACUGAGGGCGUCCCCUCCCAGCUUCCCCUCAGGGUCCCCUGUCUUGCGACUCAGCCCCUGCCUGCACAGGAGCCUGGAAGGGCUCAACCAAGAGCUGGAGGAGGUGUUUGUGAAGGAGCAGGGAGAAGAGGAGCUGCUGAGGAUCCUUGAUAUCCCUGAUGGGCAUCGGGCCCCAGCUCCUCCCCAGAGUGGCAGCUGUGAUCAUCCCCUCCUCCUCCUGGAGCCUGGCAACCUUGCCAGCUCUCCUUCCAUGUCCUUGGCAUCUCCCCAGCCUUGUGGCCUGGCCAGUCAUGAGGAACA
This 583-nucleotide small RNA is filed under the name Pongo abelii (Sumatran orangutan). Its description in RNAcentral is "processed transcript". The record is from RNAcentral. Lineage: Eukaryota; Metazoa; Chordata; Mammalia; Primates; Hominidae.